GUUAUGACUUUGAUGAAUUUAACUGUAUUAUACUUAUUUUGUUAUGAAGGAGAAGCUAUAUGUAGGACUUAAUCGAACAAAGUUUCUACAAAAUCUUUUAAAGACGCUAAUAGCACUUUGACACAAAAAGACGACGAGAUGAAUGUUAGUCCGGUUUAUGGGGCAGAAUCCAACAACAAUAAAGGUGUUUCUAAUGAGCAUCCAAGUUUUAAUUUGCAUGAAGGUGUUACAGUGGGAAUAAAAGGAGCCAACUGCAAUACUCAUGAAAAGGUAAACACAAAUGACCGCCCGAUUGUUAUUCAUGCUGUAACAGUGGUAAUUGGUAAUGAAAAUAUAGUGACGAACAUUGAUAGCGAGCCAAGGCCAGUAAAAAGGUGUGAAAGUCAAGUGAUAAAGCAAGACUACAAAGAAAGCUUGAAUCAAGAUUUUGCAAAUCCAGACAUUAUUAUUCUUGCAAACAAGGUAGACGAAUGUACUGUAAAAUUAUUGAAGGAAAACAUUUUGGAAUUCUUUAAUGGAAAGAAUAACAUUCAAAUCGCUGACUUUAUCAUAGAGGAAGGCGCUGACCAGAAUUUUCUCGACGCUGUAAACAGAGACAUGCGUACCUCAAAAAAAGUAUUUCUCCUACUGUCAAAAGACUUUGUCACUAAAACAUGGCCAUAUAUAUCAAAGAUGUCGUCUCUUAAAGACCUUCUAUACUCAAACACAUCAUCAGUUAUACCGAUGUACUUAGAGGAAUCUAUUAGUCUGCCAAUGGGACUAAUGUCAGCGUAUUGCUUGCAUUUCUAUAAACGAGAUCCCGAUUACACAAGGGCAUUGGAAAAGUUGUUGGAGGGUGUUUUUGAAGCAUAAUCAGCCUUUUUGGGAGCAUGCAUAUCUCAUUUGUUUCAUUGUUUGAGAAAAAAAAAAACUUUUGAUAAAAAAAAAUACUUUUCUCAAGAUAGCACUUGUCUUUUCGCUUUUUGAAUAAUAUUUGAAUAUUUUGGUAUGUUUUUAGAAUUAAAUGCAAUUGUUCAAGG
This is a long non-coding RNA of Mytilus californianus (California mussel), 1019 nucleotides long. RefSeq lists it as uncharacterized. The transcript has 5 exons. Lineage: Eukaryota; Metazoa; Mollusca; Bivalvia; Mytilida; Mytilidae. The record is from RefSeq and is a predicted model, not a curated record.